RNAcentral lists this transfer RNA (63 nucleotides) under Ruditapes decussatus. RNAcentral's name for it is "tRNA-Lys". It matches the Rfam family "tRNA". From Rfam's summary of the family: Transfer RNA (tRNA) molecules are approximately 80 nucleotides in length. The record is from RNAcentral. Lineage: Eukaryota; Metazoa; Mollusca; Bivalvia; Venerida; Veneridae.
GCUUUUGUAGCUUAAAGUAAAGCGAGAAGCUUUUAACUUCUUGAUGCAUAUGUGCCAAAAGCU